CUGCAAGCUUGGUCGGAUGAGUAAUAAAGGCUCUCUCUUGAAUCAUAUGGAUAAUGCUGGCAAGUGACAGAAAUAGAAGAGAGUUCUUUUAAAAAUACAAGGCACUUGGCUUAGAAUUUUCACCCGAUGGAAGACUAAUUGUGUCAUGUAGUGAGGAUAAAACUAUUAAAAUUUGGGAUACCACAAAUAAGCAAUGUGUUAAUAACUUCUCAGAUUCCGUUGGAUUUGCAAAUUUUGUGGACUUUAACCCUAGUGGUACAUGCAUAGCUUCAGCAGGUUCUGAUCAAACUGUGAAAGUCUGGGAUGUAAGAGUGAACAAAUUACUACAGCAUUACCAAGUUCACAGCGGUGGAGUUAAUUGCAUAUCAUUCCAUCCUUCGGGUAACUAUCUCAUCACAGCUUCUUCAGAUGGUACCCUUAAGAUUCUGGACCUCUUAGAAGGAAGGCUCAUCUAUACACUUCAAGGACAUACGGGACCUGUCUUUACUGUUUCAUUUUCAAAAGGUGGAGAGCUAUUUGCAUCAGGAGGUGCAGACACACAGGUCUUAUUAUGGAGGACUAACUUUGAUGAAUUGCAUUGUAAAGGUCUUACCAAAAGAAAUCUCAAAAGAUUACAUUUUGAUUCACCACCACAUCUUCUUGAUAUCUACCCAAGAACACCACAUCCCCAUGAGGAAAAAGUUGAGACUGUAGAAGAUUUUUUUCUUCAUCUUUUGAGAUUAAUCCAAAGCUUGAGGUAAUCGAUUUGCAGAUCUCUACUCCCCCU
Molecule: long non-coding RNA, 766 nt
Filed under: Homo sapiens (human)
Lineage: Eukaryota; Metazoa; Chordata; Mammalia; Primates; Hominidae
Description: non-protein coding lnc-GALNT4-1:2
Source: RNAcentral